This 363-nucleotide ribosomal RNA is filed under the name uncultured Acidimicrobiales bacterium. RNAcentral's name for it is "bacterial SSU rRNA". It matches the Rfam family "Bacterial small subunit ribosomal RNA", at positions 51 to 407 of the family's 1533-position model. Lineage: Bacteria; Bacillati; Actinomycetota; Acidimicrobiia; Acidimicrobiales. The record is from RNAcentral.
AUACAUGCAAGUCGAACGGGAUCCAAUUAGUAGCAAUACUGAGGAAGAUCUAGUGGCGAACGGGUGCGUAACACGUGAGCAACCUGCCUCGAAGACUGGGAUAACACCGGGAAACCGAUGCUAAUACCGGAUACCCCCACGGGCCCGCAUGGGUCGGUGAGGAAAGGAUUCUGCUUCGAGAGGGGCUCGCGGCCUAUCAGCUUGUUGGUGGGGUAAUGGCCUACCAAGGCAACGACGGGUAGCUGGUCUGAGAGGACGAUCAGCCACACUGGGACUGAGACACGGCCCAGACUCCUACGGGAGGCAGCAGUAGGGAAUCUUGCGCAAUGGGCGAAAGCCUGACGCAGCAACGCCGCGUGGGGG